AUAUAACUAAGCGGAGGAAAAGAAAUUAACGAAGAUUCCCCUAGUAACGGCGAGUGAAGCGGGAAAAGCUCAGACCGAAAAUCUUCGGAGUUGUGGUCUAGAGAGGGUGCUCGAAGGAAGAGAUCUCUGGUAAAAUGAUCUGGAAAGGUCUGCCGUGGAGGGUGAUAGCCCCGUCUGCACUAGAGAGAUCGACUAUUCUUUGCCCUCGAAGAGUCGAGUUGUUUGGGAAUGCAGCUCUAAUAGGUGGUAAAUUCCAUCUAAAGCUAAAUAUGGAAGAGAGACCGAUAGCAAACAAGUACCGUGAGGGAAAGAUGAAAAGAACUUUGAAAAAAGAGUGAAAGAGUACCUGAAAUUGCUGAAAAGAAACAGAUGCCAAGCAGUGUAUUGCUGGUGUACUUGUACAUCGGUGUGGGCAAGCUUCUUUGUUUGUGCGGGAGAGGGCUGGGUUCGUUGGACCUAGACCAUGCCGUCGUGCGAGCGAAGGACCUUUCCAAAAUGCUUUGUAUCAA
RNAcentral lists this ribosomal RNA (509 nucleotides) under uncultured fungus. RNAcentral describes it as "eukaryotic LSU rRNA". It matches the Rfam family "Eukaryotic large subunit ribosomal RNA", at positions 40 to 564 of the family's 3401-position model. The record is from RNAcentral. Lineage: Eukaryota; Fungi.